UACGUAGGGGGCGAGCGUUGUUCGGAAUUACUGGGCGUAAAGGGCGUGUAGGCGGUGCGGUAAGUCGGGCGUGAAAUCCCCGGGCUUAACCCGGGGCGGUCGUUCGAAACUGCCGUGCUAGAGUGCAGGAGAGGGAAGUGGAAUUCCCGGUGUAGCGGUGAAAUGCGCAGAUAUCGGGAAGAACACCCGUGGCGAAGGCGGCUCUCUGGGACGGUACUGACGCUGAGACGCGAAAGCGUGGGGAGCGAACAGG
Molecule: ribosomal RNA, 253 nt
Filed under: uncultured bacterium
Lineage: Bacteria
Description: partial 16S ribosomal RNA
Rfam family: Bacterial small subunit ribosomal RNA
Source: RNAcentral